GACGAACGCUGGCGGCGUGCUUAACACAUGCAAGUCGAACGGUAAGGCUCCAGCUUGCUGGGGUACACGAGUGGCGAACGGGUGAGUAACACGUGGGUGACCUGCCCUGCACUUCGGGAUAAGCCUGGGAAACUGGGUCUAAUACCGGAUAGGACCGCACCGUGAGGGUGUGGUGGAAAGUUUUUUCGGUGUGGGAUGGGCCCGCGGCCUAUCAGCUUGUUGGUGGGGUAAUGGCCUACCAAGGCGGCGACGGGUAGCCGGCCUGAGAGGGUGGACGGCCACAUUGGGACUGAGACACGGCCCAGACUCCUACGGGAGGCAGCAGUGGGGAAUAUUGCACAAUGGGCGGAAGCCUGAUGCAGCGACGCCGCGUGGGGGAUGACGGCCUUCGGGUUGUAAACUCCUUUCACCAUCGACGAAGGGUUCCCGACGGUAGAUGGAGAAGAAGCACCGGCUAACUACGUGCCAGCAGCCGCGGUAAUACGUAGGGUGCGAGCGUUGUCCGGAAUUACUGGGCGUAAAGAGCUCGUAGGUGGUUUGUCGCGUCGUCUGUGAAAUUCCGGGGCUUAACUCCGGGCGUGCAGGCGAUACGGGCAUAACUUGAGUACUGUAGGGGAGACUGGAAUUCCUGGUGUAGCGGUGAAAUGCGCAGAUAUCAGGAGGAACACCGGUGGCGAAGGCGGGUCUCUGGGCAGUAACUGACGCUGAGGAGCGAAAGCAUGGGGAGCGAACAGGAUUAGAUACCCUGGUAGUCCAUGCCGUAAACGGUGGGCGCUAGGUGUGGGUUUCCUUCCACGGGAUCCGUGCCGUAGCUAACGCAUUAAGCGCCCCGCCUGGGGAGUACGGCCGCAAGGCUAAAACUCAAAGGAAUUGACGGGGGCCCGCACAAGCGGCGGAGCAUGUGGAUUAAUUCGAUGCAACGCGAAGAACCUUACCUGGGCUUGACAUAUACAGGAUCGCGCCAGAGAUGGUGUUUCCCUUGUGGCUUGUAUACAGGUGGUGCAUGGUUGUCGUCAGCUCGUGUCGUGAGAUGUUGGGUUAAGUCCCGCAACGAGCGCAACCCUUGUCUUAUGUUGCCAGCACGUUGUGGUGGGGACUCGUAAGAAACUGCCGGGGUUAACUCGGAGGAAGGUGGGGAUGACGUCAAAUCAUCAUGCCCCUUAUGUCCAGGGCUUCACACAUGCUACAAUGGUCGGUACAGUGGGUUGCCAGUCCGUGAGGGCGAGCUAAUCCCGCAAAGCCGGUCUCAGUUCGGAUCGGGGUCUGCAACUCGACCCCGUGAAGUCGGAGUCGCUAGUAAUCGCAGAUCAGCAACGCUGCGGUGAAUACGUUCCCGGGCCU
Molecule: ribosomal RNA, 1341 nt
Filed under: uncultured bacterium
Lineage: Bacteria
Description: 16S ribosomal RNA
Rfam family: Bacterial small subunit ribosomal RNA
Source: RNAcentral